This 1370-nucleotide ribosomal RNA is filed under the name uncultured bacterium. Its description in RNAcentral is "bacterial SSU rRNA". It matches the Rfam family "Bacterial small subunit ribosomal RNA". The record is from RNAcentral.
AGAGUUUGAUCCUGGCUCAGGACGAACGCUGGCGGCGCGCCUAACACAUGCAAGUCGAACGAGCGAGAGAGAGCUUGCUUUCUCAAGCGAGUGGCGAACGGGUGAGUAACGCGUGAGGAACCUGCCUCAAAGAGGGGGACAACAGUUGGAAACGACUGCUAAUACCGCAUAAGCCCACGGCUCGGCAUCGAGCAGAGGGAAAAGGAGCAAUCCGCUUUGAGAUGGCCUCGCGUCCGAUUAGCUGGUUGGUGAGGUAAUGGCCCACCAAGGCGACGAUCGGUAGCCGGACUGAGAGGUUGAACGGCCACAUUGGGACUGAGACACGGCCCAGACUCCUACGGGAGGCAGCAGUGGGGAAUAUUGCACAAUGGGGGAAACCCUGAUGCAGCGACGCCGCGUGGAGGAAGAAGGUCUUCGGAUUGUAAACUCCUGUUGUUGAGGAAGAUAAUGACGGUACUCAACAAGGAAGUGACGGCUAACUACGUGCCAGCAGCCGCGGUAAAACGUAGGUCACAAGCGUUGUCCGGAAUUACUGGGUGUAAAGGGAGCGCAGGCGGGAAGACAAGUUGGAAGUGAAAUCCAUGGGCUCAACCCAUGAACUGCUUUCAAAACUGUUUUUCUUGAGUAGUGCAGAGGUAGGCGGAAUUCCCGGUGUAGCGGUGGAAUGCGUAGAUAUCGGGAGGAACACCAGUGGCGAAGGCGGCCUACUGGGCACCAACUGACGCUGAGGCUCGAAAGUGUGGGUAGCAAACAGGAUUAGAUACCCUGGUAGUCCACACUGUAAACGAUGAUUACUAGGUGUUGGAGGAUUGACCCCUUCAGUGCCGCAGUUAACACAAUAAGUAAUCCACCUGGGGAGUACGACCGCAAGGUUGAAACUCAAAGGAAUUGACGGGGGCCCGCACAAGCAGUGGAGUAUGUGGUUUAAUUCGACGCAACGCGAAGAACCUUACCAAGUCUUGACAUCCUGCGACGGUGCUGGAAACAGUACUUUCCUUCGGGACGCAGAGACAGGUGGUGCAUGGUUGUCGUCAGCUCGUGUCGUGAGAUGUUGGGUUAAGUCCCGCAACGAGCGCAACCCUUAUGGUCAGUUACUACGCAAGAGGACUCUGGCCAGACUGCCGUUGACAAAACGGAGGAAGGUGGGGAUGACGUCAAAUCAUCAUGCCCUUUAUGACUUGGGCUACACACGUACUACAAUGGCGUUAAACAAAGAGAAGCAAGACCGCGAGGCGGAGCAAAACUCAGAAACAACGUCCCAGUUCGGACUGCAGGCUGCAACUCGCCUGCACGAAGUCGGAAUUGCUAGUAAUCGCAGAUCAGCAUGCUGCGGUGAAUACGUUCCCGGGCCUUGCACACACCGCCCGUCA